AGGUAGCCCCGAUGGCAACGGCAUCCUUUUUUUUUGCGCGAGCGAGGCGAGCGCGUAAAAAGAUAAAGUGAACAGCGGGACAAAUU
Molecule: small RNA, 86 nt
Filed under: Halpernia frigidisoli
Lineage: Bacteria; Pseudomonadati; Bacteroidota; Flavobacteriia; Flavobacteriales; Weeksellaceae
Description: Flavo-1 RNA
Rfam family: Flavo-1 RNA
Source: Rfam by way of RNAcentral